UAAGACGUAGGAUGCAAGCGUUGUCCGGAUUUAUUGGGCGUAAAGAGUUCGUAGGUGGUUUGUUAAGUUUGGUGUUAAAGAACGGGGCCUAACCCCGGUAGUGCACUGAAUACUGGCAGACUUGAGUGCGGUAGAGGUAAGUGGAAUUCCAAGUGUAGCGGUGAAAUGCAUAGAUAUUUGGAAGAACACCGGUGGCGUAAGCGACUUACUGGGCCGUAACUGACACUGAGGAACGAAAGCCGGGGUAGCGAAUGGGAUUAGAUACCCCAGUAGUCCCGGCUGUAAACGAUGGAUACUAGGCGUUGUGGGUAUCGACCCCCGCAGUGCCGUAGCUAACGCGAUAAGUAUCCCGCCUGAGUAGUACGGCCGCAAGGUUG
RNAcentral lists this ribosomal RNA (377 nucleotides) under uncultured bacterium. RNAcentral describes it as "bacterial SSU rRNA". It matches the Rfam family "Bacterial small subunit ribosomal RNA", at positions 521 to 896 of the family's 1533-position model. The record is from RNAcentral.